RNAcentral lists this ribosomal RNA (424 nucleotides) under uncultured bacterium. RNAcentral's name for it is "bacterial SSU rRNA". It matches the Rfam family "Bacterial small subunit ribosomal RNA", at positions 917 to 1341 of the family's 1533-position model. The record is from RNAcentral.
GGGCCCGCACAAGCGGUGGAGCAUGUGGUUUAAUUCGAUGCAACGCGAAGAACCUUACCUACUCUUGACAUCCAGAGAAGCUUGAAGAGAUUCGAGUGUGCCUUCGGGAACUCUGAGACAGGUGCUGCAUGGCUGUCGUCAGCUCGUGUUGUGAAAUGUUGGGUUAAGUCCCGCAACGAGCGCAACCCUUAUCCUUGUUUGCCAGCACUUCGGGUGGGAACUCCAGGGAGACUGCCGGUGAUAAACCGGAGGAAGGUGGGGACGACGUCAAGUCAUCAUGGCCCUUACGAGUAGGGCUACACACGUGCUACAAUGGCAUAUACAGAGGGCAGCAAGACCGCGAGGUGGAGCGAAUCCCAGAAAGUAUGUCGUAGUCCGGAUCGGAGUCUGCAACUCGACUCCGUGAAGUCGGAAUCGCUAGUAA